GGAGUGGCUUGGAUGAUCGCGUCAGAGAGUAAUUUCUGCCGAGGAAAGUCCGGGCUGCACAGGGCAGAGUGCCGGAUAACGUCCGGUAAGGGUGACCUUGGGACAGUGCCACAGAGAAUAGACCGCCAGUCAUCGUUGAUUUCUGGUAAGGGUGAAACGGUGCGGUAAGAGCGCACCGCCCCGGCUGGUAACAGUCGGGGGCACGGUAAACCCCGCUCGCAGCAAGGCCAAAUAGGAAAGCGCCAAGCGUGGCCCACGUUUGCUUUCGGGUAGGCUGCUUGAGCCUGUCAGUAAUGGCAGGCCUAGAGGAAUGAUCAUCGCCGCUUUCUCGUUAGAGAUCUGCGGAGACAAAACCCGGCUUAUAGAGCCACUCCGUAU
Molecule: RNase P RNA, 378 nt
Filed under: Mariprofundus sp.
Lineage: Bacteria; Pseudomonadati; Pseudomonadota; Candidatius Mariprofundia; Mariprofundales; Mariprofundaceae
Description: RNase P RNA component class A
Rfam family: Bacterial RNase P class A
About the family: Ribonuclease P (RNase P) is a ubiquitous endoribonuclease, found in archaea, bacteria and eukarya as well as chloroplasts and mitochondria. Its best characterised activity is the generation of mature 5'-ends of tRNAs by cleaving the 5'-leader elements of precursor-tRNAs.
Source: RNAcentral